Molecule: small nucleolar RNA, 181 nt
Organism: Camelus dromedarius (Arabian camel)
Lineage: Eukaryota; Metazoa; Chordata; Mammalia; Artiodactyla; Camelidae
Source: Ensembl
AUGUUCUUGUUUAAGCACCGUGCUGAAACUGCACAAACUAGGGCCACAUCUUGGACUUCGUAGUAAUGCUGGCAGAGUACACACAAGAAGAAGAGUAAUUAUACUUGACUGUAAAGACUGGGAUGGCCCACCUCUGUCUUAAUGUCUGGUGUCCAUUGUCUUAAGGUUUGAUGUGCUGUGU